CCGGGGCCCCGGGUGACUUCAUUUUUGCUUUGGGAGUGUGUUCGCCUGUUGGUGAGGCGCAGGUUGCCGGUGGUUUGUAGUUACCGCUUCCAUGGUAUUGGUUUGGCGUCAGCCCACCAAAUGAAGGAUUCUUGAUGCCCUUAGCAGUUACAAAGAUGGGCCCGUCCUGAGACCGAGAGGGCCCUGGACCCCGAAUCCUGAACUGAACAAGUGGAAUAUGCUCCAUAGCUAACAGAGCUAAUAUCUCGCUCCUCUCCGAUACUAGAGAAAGUGACAGAUUACCUGGACCGUCGGAUGCGGAGGAAGGACAUAGCUUUAGAAACAAACAGGCUCUGGUGUGCACACAACAGUGUGAAUAUGUAAAAUAAGGACAGUAACCUACUGUGGGUAAGGUGACGAUGUUCGAAAUGCCAUUUGUUAGGACUAGGCCUAAAGGAUCGCGUAAGAUAUGCAUUCCAUUAAAUUCGAUCUGUCCGCUGUUGGUUUGCAUGUUGCAGUGUUGCUGUUGCAAAUAGGUGAUGCACAAGAGUCCCAAAGAUUCUGUGCCUUCCAAGCCUUGAACUUGCAGGAGUUUGCUGUACAGAGUUACAGCUUACUUUGCACUCAUUGUGCAGUCAUUGCUUGCCUAAACACUUUGACGUCCAAAGUCGACCCUUUCUGUGAAAAUACACAAGUCUUUUUCUUGAGUUUCAGAAAUUCGCAUAAGCAGAUUGUGGAGACUUUACUGCUAUUUGGUCUUGGCAGACCCAUUUAUAGGUUGCUGUCGUUUUUUCAAAAAUUAUAUCCUUUUUUGAGCCAAAGACCUUUUGCCUAUUUCAACCAUGUUUUGAUGAUUCUGGUUUUGCCUUCCAUACCUAUGCAGAAAUGUCUGAUUGCACUUUUUAUAAAUGCCAGUAUGAACCUGCCAUUUCUCUGAUUAUUCUCCAAUUAUAUGCCAGUUUUUAAAAACUCCAGUUAAAAUGCUGUGCUAAAAAUACAGCACUGUAAAUAAUAUUUAAUAAUGCUACUCUGAGAUCUGGUCCCUUGAUGUGGAGAAUCAUAAAAGUAUUAUUUUCAUGGUCUGGGAAUGGAACCCAGACCUCAAGCAUGCUAGACAAGCACUCUACCACUGAGGUACAUCACAGUCCUUUACAUGGUUCUUGCUUUUUUUCCUCCCUUUUUAUAAAAUAAAUUAAUUUUAAGAGUUUGUUACAUUAUGUUGACAGUUUAUCAUAGGAAUUAAUUAUGCACUCACUGAGACCCAAAACAUGGAUUUUAAAUUAAACAUAAUUUAAUUCAAUAUUCAGGCUCUAGGAAACUAAUGAAAGAUAUGUAUAUUACCUUGUUUUAUCCCAGAGUGGUUUACAUGUGUCCAUGGUUUGAAUUAAUAUUAAUAAAAAGAUGUGCAAG
RNAcentral lists this long non-coding RNA (1389 nucleotides) under Marmota monax (woodchuck). Lineage: Eukaryota; Metazoa; Chordata; Mammalia; Rodentia; Sciuridae. The record is from RNAcentral.